RNAcentral lists this ribosomal RNA (492 nucleotides) under uncultured bacterium. Its description in RNAcentral is "partial 16S ribosomal RNA". It matches the Rfam family "Bacterial small subunit ribosomal RNA", at positions 29 to 507 of the family's 1533-position model. The record is from RNAcentral.
AGUGAACGCUGGCGGUAGGCCUAACACAUGCAAGUCGAACGGCAGCACAGUAAGAGCUUGCUCUUACGGGUGGCGAGUGGCGGACGGGUGAGGAAUACAUCGGCAUCUACUUUUUCGCGGGGGAUAACGCAGGGAAACUUACGCUAAUACCGCAUACGACCUACGGGUGAAAGCAGGGGAUCUUCGGACCUUGCGCGAUUGAAUGAGCCGAUGUCGGUUUAGCUAGUUGGCGGGGUAAAGGCCCACCAAGGCGACGAUCCGUAGCUGGUCUGAGAGGAUGAUCAGCCACACUGGAACUGGGACACGGACCAGACUCCUACGGGAGGCAGCAGUGGGGAAUAUUGGACAAUGGGCGCGAGCCUGAUCCAGCCAUACCGCGUGGGUGAAGAAGGCCUUCGGGUUGUAAAGCCCUUUUGUUGGGAAAGAAAAGCAGCAGGUUAAUACCCCGCUGUUCUGACGGUACCCAAAGAAUAAGCACCGGCUAACUUCGUG